UAUAUAAACCUUGUUUCCUUAAGCUCUCCCUAUCCCCCAACAGCUAGCUACACAGAGACCACUAUAUAUACUCUCCAUAAUUCAAGCUACAAACUGAUACGUAGAACACCACUCCUAGUCUUCUCUUCCGGUGAGUUGAAGAUGGCGAGAGAAUCAACUUCAAGGGGGAUUCGGAAGCUUGGAUCAUGGCAACGAUGUUCGAGGCUUGUACGGGAGCAGCGAACGCGUUUUUACAUCAUAUGGAGGUGUACAGUGAUUCUUCUUCGUUGGGACGAGUGAGCCUGGAGGCGAGUCGUAGGUUCGGACCUUUGUUUGUACAUUAAGAAAGCUAUUGCAUAUAAAAGCAGCUUCGUGCUGUAAGGUUGCAUCUGCACAACCAAGUUUGAUCAUUAUGAAAAACCCAGUUAAGGUGGAAUUAGCAGCAGUUUUUGUAAUGGGUAAUUUAGGAUAAAUUUAAAGAACAAUACUCGUUCUCAUGUAAAAACAGAAGAGAAGUUUGUUUCUAUGAUACUUUUUGUCUAUUCAGUUACCUCUCUCCUUCCCUCACACGGGCACACACAGGACUGGCUUUUUCAUAUUGGACAACAAUCAGCAAGAAAAAAGAAAAUAUUUGCUAAUGAAACGCAUAUCAAGGCAAUCUGUUUAUGGCCAUAAUUUUCAACUUAAUAUCAAGCACCUCCUGGCCACCCAUCGGUACAUGCAGUUCAUUAUCCAUUACAGCUCAUUUUCUUCACCGCCCCGACAUAUCAAAUAUUUUCCAUCCGAUCUGUUUCGCCGGUCAUCCCUACAAUUCCACCAGACAUCUUUCUUUUUAAAAUUUUCUUUUCCAGUAAAGACGAGGCAUCAUGUACAGUUAAUCUCAAAUAAGUGCAGAUCAUAAGAAUAAUCUUUACAUAUAUCAAAUUCCAAAUCAAAAACGACCAUUUACUUUCUGUACUCGUUCAUAUCAACCAUACAGAAAAGAGUUCUGUUGAGAAGCAACAGAUUUACUAUCCACUCAUUAAACUUCAAAAUUUUUAUUACAUUUCAUGGCUUCAAUGUUCAUUUUCUAUGUACCUAAACAAAAUUCUUCUCUCGGUAUGACUUCCCAGAUAAAUGGCAGUCAAAUUCUAGACUUGUCAUCAUCCCUUCAUCACUUGCUGUCAAGGGGAGGGUCACUAGGAGUUGCUCUUGUUGAACUUGAAUCACU
RNAcentral lists this long non-coding RNA (1189 nucleotides) under Citrus sinensis (sweet orange). Its description in RNAcentral is "long non-coding RNA (CSIN_LNC003766)". Lineage: Eukaryota; Viridiplantae; Streptophyta; Magnoliopsida; Sapindales; Rutaceae. The record is from RNAcentral.